This 274-nucleotide ribosomal RNA is filed under the name uncultured bacterium. Its description in RNAcentral is "partial 16S ribosomal RNA". The record is from RNAcentral.
CUGCUGCCUCCCGUAGGAGUCUGGUCCGUGUCUCAGUACCAGUGUGGGGGACCUUCCUCUCAGAACCCCUACGCAUCGUCGCCUCGGUGGGCCGUUACCCCGCCGACUAGCUAAUGCGCCGCAUGCCCAUCCGUAGCCGGAAUCGCUUCCUUUAAUCCCUCAGGAAUGCCCCCGAAAGAUAUUACGCGGUAUUAGACGGAAUUUCUUCCGCUUAUCCCCCUGCUACGGGCAGGUCGCAUACGUGUUACUCACCCGUGCGCCGGUCGCCGUCCGG